UGUUAGGGUCACUUUCACAAACGCCGAUUAACUGUUAACGGGAGGUUAAUAGGUUUUCUGUCUCUCCUUAGAUAAUAAUAUAGAGAAAGAUAGGUAGUCGAUUAACCUUCCGUUAGCAGUUAACCGACGUUUGUAAAACUGGCCCUAAAGCUCGGUUUCACAACUCACGGUUAAAUUAACUGGCCGAUUAUUCCAUUGGAAUUGACCAAUCGUAUUUGUCGUUAAGCAAAAUUAACAAAUACGAUUGGUCAAUUCCAAUGAAAUAAUCGGCCAGUUAAUUUAACCGUGAGUUGUGGAACCGGGCCUUAAGUAGUAAAUCCAAGGUUUACAGAGUCAGUUUUGACGUAUGCGCGUGUAUGUGUCAAACAAUAUAUAUUGUAUAAAUGAUUUAUAACAUUUGAUUUAAUAAAUGAAUAAAAAUUACACAAAUAACUAAAAAUAUAGUGCAUAGAGAUGAACAAGUUUCUUUAAUGUGUUUUUAUAAACGCUAUGAUUGAAUUCUCGUUCUUUGCCUUGGAAUCAUUCAGAUUUCAAUGAAAUAAAAUUAAGCAUAAGAAGCAUAAAGAAGGAAGAUUGAAAGAAAUAAGGAAGAAUAAACGAAUAUAUCAGAUAAGUAGCUAAUAUCUUUAUAAAAAAUUAUGUAUUCUAUAUGUGCUUUUUGUAGAUGAACCGAUUCUUUUCUUGAAUUAAUUUUUUGUUUCAGCUUCUCAGUCAAUCAUUUGCUUGUAGAAUGUUGACGGCUGGAGAACAAUCCCUUGCAGAGUGAAACUACCAAAUUCUAAGCCUACUACAUUCUCGAGUGUACCAAAAUUCAAGCAAGAAAUGUGUUAUCCACUCACCUUUGUAAGAAUGGGGGUUUGGAGUAGCAAUGGAAUGCAUGUCAAGGAUUAUUUUGUAAGUAAAUUUACACUAUUUGAAGUAAAAUAAUAAAUGAUCGUAAAUGGAAAACCCAUUAAGACCAUAAUAAAUAAUCAAGUUACAAGUCUAGGAACAAUAAUUAAAAAAAGAAUAGUAGUAAUAUUAAAAUGUUUAUUUACUCAUAAAUUGUUAUUUCCCUAUUAAUUUGGAUAAUUUAUAUAAGAUUAAUAAAUAGUAUCUCGUCGGUGGUUUAGUGCAUGAUAAAAAAACAGGCCUAUUAUCUUCUUAUUGAAAAUCAAACACAUGCACAAUUACCGUAUUCAGAAAGUAACGCCCUCUCAUCUCCGUCACGCUUACCGCGGCGGUCGGUAAGGCAGAGAAUCGAACGAUUCGCGUAGUGUGACAAACGAUCGAGAGAGUCCACGAUUCUAAUAUGUAACACAGGCAACGUAGUACGAAAAUAAACAGAACACCUCGUGUUUACGGAAGUUCGUAACAGGUGUUUUUCAUCCCCUCCGUCUGCGCCUCCGCCUCUGCCAUUUGCUGCAGCUUCCUCUAUCCUCUGAUCAUGGUUCGAUGGGGUGAAAGGGGCAUGGGGGAGGGGAAGGGGACACAGAAAUGCAAGCAAGGUUCGUUAAUACUUAUUCGCUUACGUAGGCACACUUGUGUUUCAUGUCUCACGGCAUAGACUCACAUAGAUUCGUGUCGGCCGUUUCGGUUACGGAUGUUUGAGUCCUUGAAUACCGUUCAAUACUAACAAUAAGAGAAUCUCGGCAUUUUUCUAAAAGUUUGAAUCUUUUCAAGUAUUAUUUUUGCACGUAACCCUCUUGCUCUCGUCGCACACUAAAUCGCAGACUAGCGAACGACCGUUAUAGGCAUCCUAAUCUACGAAUUUUCAAAGAAUAGAAAUUCUCGUCCCGAUCUCUAAAUUCCAAAUAGGUCGUAGAAAUUCCUAGGUCAAAGAUGAUGAACGUAAUUUACAAACUUCCCGUUUGUUUUGUUAUUUAAAUUACUCGUGGAAUUUAUCCUUGAUAAUAUGUUAAGUAUCCGCUCGGUCUUUAUCGCGACGCAAGAAAUAUUCCUAAAUUUCUCUAUUAGAUUGUACGCGAAAGAAAAUCUGAGAGUGACUACGAAAAUCACACUCUUAAUAACAAUUUUCGGCAAUAAAAAUCAUUAAUGAUAAUCGUAUUUUUUUCAUAAACGAAACACGAGAUUCAUCGCUUAUGAUAAUUUUAAGUUUUUUGUUUGCAUUUUUAACGCAACGUAGAAUUUUGCAGAGAUGUCUUAGAUUUGAAUAUUUAUAAUAAAAUAUAAUAGACGCAAGGCAAAAUUAACUCUGGCAAAACAACUCUGUUUUCACUCCUGAAAAGCCGAGUAGAGCAAGAGUAAAUUGAUCCUUUCUAAAUAAAA
Molecule: long non-coding RNA, 2268 nt
Organism: Monomorium pharaonis (pharaoh ant)
Lineage: Eukaryota; Metazoa; Arthropoda; Insecta; Hymenoptera; Formicidae
Exons: 3
Source: RefSeq, a predicted model, not a curated record